RNAcentral lists this ribosomal RNA (610 nucleotides) under Hygrotus masculinus. Its description in RNAcentral is "SSU rRNA". It matches the Rfam family "Eukaryotic small subunit ribosomal RNA", at positions 22 to 602 of the family's 1831-position model. Lineage: Eukaryota; Metazoa; Arthropoda; Insecta; Coleoptera; Dytiscidae. The record is from RNAcentral.
AGUCAUAUGCUUGUCUCAAAGAUUAAGCCAUGCAUGUCUCAGUACAAGCCUAAUUAAGGUGAAACCGCGAAAGGCUCAUUAAAUCAGUUAUGGUUCCUUAGAUCGUACCCACAUUUACUUGGAUAACUGUGGUAAUUCUAGAGCUAAUACAUGCAAACAGAGCUCCGACCGGAGACGGGAGGAGUGCUUUUAUUAGAUCAAAACCAAUCGGCGGCGGGCGCGUCCGCGCGUCCGUUCGCCGCUCAAACUGGUGACUCUGAAUAACUUUCCGCUGAUCGCACGGUCUCGCACCGGCGACGCAUCUUUCAAAUGUCUGCCUUAUCAACUGUCGAUGGUAGGUUCUGCGCCUACCAUGGUCGUAACGGGUAACGGGGAAUCAGGGUUCGAUUCCGGAGAGGGAGCCUGAGAAACGGCUACCACAUCCAAGGAAGGCAGCAGGCGCGCAAAUUACCCACUCCCGGCACGGGGAGGUAGUGACGAAAAAUAACGAUACGGGACUCAUCCGAGGCCCCGUAAUCGGAAUGAGUACACUUUAAAUCCUUUAACGAGGAUCAAUUGGAGGGCAAGUCUGGUGCCAGCAGCCGCGGUAACUCCAGCUCCAAUAGCGUAU